This is a long non-coding RNA of Thrips palmi, 806 nucleotides long. RefSeq lists it as uncharacterized. The record is from RefSeq and is a predicted model, not a curated record. Lineage: Eukaryota; Metazoa; Arthropoda; Insecta; Thysanoptera; Thripidae. The transcript is spliced from 3 exons.
UUGGUACACAAUCAGGUUGUUAGCGCACGCUGGCCGAAGGUCAUGGCCGCCUUAUCACAAUCAACGGGAUAUAACAUUACUACGAACGACCCAGUCACUGGCGCUCCUGUGCUCAGAACACAGCUGCUGCAAGUUGUCGGUGGACGGAGCAUAGUGUGCAUGGUAGAGCCACAUACGCCCAAGCCUUGCUGCGAACCCUCACCGCUGGAAUGUAAUUUCUAUUGCGGUGCUAUCAAUCAAAGUCUGACAUCGAAGAUACGUGUUACGAUCCACACACGCAGCCCAACAUCGAGCACCAGUUUCUCAUCGACGAAGUUGCAGCGAUGGCUUUCUGUCCCGCCAUUCUCAUCGGUCUUACGUUCUUCUCGAGCCAUACAUCAGCUUUCUAUACUUCACUGAGAAACAUGGAUGCAGAUCCUGGUGAUAGAAUUGCGUGCAAAAUUUUUUGGCCGAUCGAUCACUGGCUGCUGGCUUCCGACAGGCCUGGAUACUUCAUUAAUGUCGAACCACAUUCAAGCGGUUCGUUUUGGGUCAAUGAAGUGCACUACUCAGAGGAAGGCGGCAAGAGCAGCGUCGAGUGGUGCCGGAAUCAUGGUCCAGGUUGGUACGGCGAAUACGCAGUCUUUAGAGCACGGCGUUCCCUUCACACGUUCGUUCACUAUAACAAGUUCACGUGUAACUGUGAGCACUAUGUUGAUGCGUGGGCAGGGACGUCUCUUUGCGUUAACCAGAGCUUCAGGUGUCCCAGCCGAGACUGUCGCAGGUAUUUGCCUGAUGGCACAGUCAAUUAUAGAUUAUUUUCGAUA